RNAcentral lists this ribosomal RNA (301 nucleotides) under uncultured bacterium. Its description in RNAcentral is "partial 16S ribosomal RNA". It matches the Rfam family "Bacterial small subunit ribosomal RNA", at positions 509 to 807 of the family's 1533-position model. The record is from RNAcentral.
CAGUAGCCGCGGGAAUACGUAGGGUGCGAGCGUUAAUCGGAAUUACUGGGCGUAAAGCGUGCGCAGGCGGUUGUACAAGACAGAUGUGAAAUCCCCGGGCUUAACCUGGGAAUGGCAUUUGUGACUGUACGGCUAGAGUGUGUCAGAGGGGGGUAGAAUUCCACGUGUAGCAGUGAAAUGCGUAGAUAUGUGGAGGAAUACCGAUGGCGAAGGCAGCCCCCUGGGAUAACACUGACGCUCAUGCACGAAAGCGUGGGGAGCAAACAGGAUUAGAUACCCCGGUAGUCCCUGUCUCUUAUAC